AGUGAACGCUGGCGGUAGGCCUAACACAUGCAAGUCGAACGGCAGCACAGUAAGAGCUUGCUCUUACGGGUGGCGAGUGGCGGACGGGUGAGGAAUACAUCGGAAUCUACUUUUUCGUGGGGGAUAACGUAGGGAAACUUACGCUCAUACCGCAUACGACCUACGGGUGAAAGCAGGGGAUCUUCGGACCUUGCGCGAUUGAAUGAGCCGAUGUCGGAUUAGCUAGUUGGCGGGGUAAAGGCCCACCAAGGCGACGAUCCGUAGCUGGUCUGAGAGGAUGGUCAGCCACACUGGAACUGAGACACGGUCCAGACUCCUACGGGAGGCAGCAGUGGGGAAUAUUGGACAAUGGGCGCAAGCCUGAUCCAGCCAUACCGCGUGGGUGAAGAAGGCCUUCGGGUUGUAAAGCCCUUUUGUUGGGAAAGAAAAGCAGCAGGUUAAUACCCCGCUGUUCUGACGGUACCCAAAGAAUAAGCACCGGCUAACUUCGUG
RNAcentral lists this ribosomal RNA (492 nucleotides) under uncultured bacterium. RNAcentral's name for it is "partial 16S ribosomal RNA". It matches the Rfam family "Bacterial small subunit ribosomal RNA", at positions 29 to 507 of the family's 1533-position model. The record is from RNAcentral.